AAUGAACGCUGGCGGCGCGCCUAAUACAUGCAAGUCGAGCGAGAAGACGUAGCAAUACGUUUGUAAAGCGGCGAACGGGUGAGGAAUACAUGGGUAACCUACCCUCGAGUGGGGAAUAACUAGCCGAAAGGUUAGCUAAUACCGCGUACGCUCCUUGGACUUCGGUUCAGGGAGGAAAGCGAUACCGUGGGUAUCGCGCUCUUGGUUGGGCUCAUGUCCUAUCAGCUAGUUGGUGGGGUAANGGCUCACCAAGGCGACGACGGGUAGCUGGUCUGAGAGGAUGGCCAGCCACAUUGGGACUGAGACACGGCCCAGACUCCUACGGGAGGCAGCAGUGGGGAAUAUUGCGCAAUGGGCGAAAGCCUGACGCAGCGACGCCGCGUGUGGGAUGACGGCCUCGGUU
Molecule: ribosomal RNA, 403 nt
Filed under: uncultured bacterium
Lineage: Bacteria
Description: bacterial SSU rRNA
Rfam family: Bacterial small subunit ribosomal RNA
Source: RNAcentral